RNAcentral lists this ribosomal RNA (118 nucleotides) under Pteropus alecto (black flying fox). The record is from RNAcentral. Lineage: Eukaryota; Metazoa; Chordata; Mammalia; Chiroptera; Pteropodidae.
UACUAUGGCCACGCUACCCUGAACAAGCCCGAUCCUGUCUGUUCUCAGAAGCUAGCAGGAUUGGGCCUGGUUAGUACUUGGAUGGGAGACCACCUAGGAAGACCAGGUGUUGUAGGUC